Molecule: ribosomal RNA, 429 nt
Filed under: Chloroflexota bacterium
Lineage: Bacteria; Bacillati; Chloroflexota
Description: Chloroflexi bacterium partial 16S ribosomal RNA
Rfam family: Bacterial small subunit ribosomal RNA
Source: RNAcentral
UGGGGAAUAUUGCACAAUGGGCGCAAGCCUGAUGCAGCCAUGCCGCGUGUAUGAAGAAGGCCUUCGGGUUGUAAAGUACUUUCAGCGGGGAGGAAGGGAGUAAAGUUAAUACCUUUGCUCAUUGACGUUACCCGCAGAAGAAGCACCGGCUAACUUCGUGCCAGCAGCCGCGGUAAUACGGAGGGUGCAAGCGUUAAUCGGAAUUACUGGGCGUAAAGCGCACGCAGGCGGUUUGUUAAGUCAGAUGUGAAAUCCCCGGGCUCAACCUGGGAACUGCAUCUGAUACUGGCAAGCUUGAGUCUCGUAGAGGGAGGUAGAAUUCCAGGUGUAGCGGUGAAAUGCGUAGAGAUCUGGAGGAAUACCGGUGGCGAAGGCGGCCCCCUGGACGAAGACUGACGCUCAGGUGCGAAAGCGUGGGGAGCAAACAGG